RNAcentral lists this ribosomal RNA (393 nucleotides) under uncultured Gammaproteobacteria bacterium. RNAcentral's name for it is "bacterial SSU rRNA". It matches the Rfam family "Bacterial small subunit ribosomal RNA", at positions 370 to 779 of the family's 1533-position model. The record is from RNAcentral. Lineage: Bacteria; Pseudomonadati; Pseudomonadota; Gammaproteobacteria.
AAUGGGCGCAAGCCUGACGGAGCGAUGCCGCGUGCGGGAUGAAGGCCUUCGGGUUGUAAACCGCUGUCAGUGAGGUGGAAAUGUUGACCUAAUCGCAGAGGAAGUCCGGGCUAAGUUCGUGCCAGCAGCCGCGGUAACACGAACCGGACAAACGUUAUUCGGAAUCACUGGGCUUAAAGAGUACGUAGGCGGCUAUACAAGUUGGGUGUGAAAUCCCACGGCUCAACCGUGGAACUGCGCUCAAAACUGUAUAGCUAGAGGGAGACAGGGGUGAGCGGAACUGAUGGUGGAGCGGUGAAAUGCGUUGAUAUCAUCAGGAACACUGGUGGCGAAGGCGGCUCACUGGGUCUCUUCUGACGCUGAGGUACGAAAGCUAGGGUAGCGAACGGGAUU